Molecule: ribosomal RNA, 440 nt
Filed under: uncultured bacterium
Lineage: Bacteria
Description: partial 16S ribosomal RNA
Rfam family: Bacterial small subunit ribosomal RNA
Source: RNAcentral
CCUACGGGAGGCAGCAGUAGGGAAUAUUGCUCAAUGGGGGAAACCCUGAAGCAGCAACGCCGCGUGGAGGAUGAAGGUUUUCGGAUUGUAAACUUCUUUUGUUAGAGAAGAUAAUGACGGUAUCUAACGAAUAAGCACCGGCUAACUCCGUGCCAGCAGCCGCGGUAAUACGGAGGGUGCAAGCGUUACUCGGAUUCACUGGGCGUAAAGAGCGCGUAGGCGGGAUAGCAAGUCAGAUGUGAAAUCCUAUGGCUUAACCAUAGAACUGCUUUGGAAACUGUGAUUCUAGAGUAUGGGAGAGGUAAGUGGAAUUCUUGGUGUAGGGGUGAAAUCCGUAGAGAUCAGGAGGAAUACUAGUUGCGAAGGCGACCUACUGGAACAUAACUGACGCUGAGGCGCGAAAGCGUGGGGAGCAAACAGGAUUAGAUACCCGAGUAGUC